UAGAAGGUUCGAUAGGUGUAAAACUCUUCGAAUAUAAACCUGACAAGCUUAAGAAUUGGGGACUGUCCCUGAUGAUGGUGUGCAAGCCCAGCUCGUACUGGGAAGCCUAAAGUCGUUAAAUGGUCGCCCACCUUGCAGAAUGAGGUUUAUUUUUCAGAGUGUCCUAGCGAGCCUUUUUU
Molecule: non-coding RNA, 179 nt
Filed under: Pseudobdellovibrionaceae bacterium
Lineage: Bacteria; Pseudomonadati; Bdellovibrionota; Bdellovibrionia; Bdellovibrionales; Pseudobdellovibrionaceae
Description: Bdellovibrionaceae bacterium (bioreactor metagenome) 6S RNA
Rfam family: 6S / SsrS RNA
About the family: E. coli 6S RNA was the first non coding RNA to be sequenced, but its function was unknown until recently.
Source: RNAcentral